UAGGGAAUCUUCGGCAAUGGGGGGAACCCUGACCGAGCAACGCCGCGUGAGUGAAGAAGGUUUUCGGAUCGUAAAGCUCUGUUGUUAAGGAAGAACGAGUGUGAGAAUGGAAAGUUCAUGCUGUGACGGUACUUAACCAGAAAGGGACGGCUAACUACGUGCCAGCAGCCGCGGUAAUACGUAGGUCCCGAGCGUUGUCCGGAUUUAUUGGGCGUAAAGCGAGCGCAGGCGGUUAGAAAAGUCUGAAGUGAAAGGCAGUGGCUCAACCAUUGUAGGCUUUGGAAACUGGUUAACGUGAGUGCAGAAGGGGAGAGUGGAAUUCCAUGUGUAGCGGUGAAAUGCGUAGAUAUAUGGAGGAACACCGGUGGCGAAAGCGGCUCUCUGGUCUGUAACUGACGCUGAGGCUCGAAAGCGUGGGGAGCGAACAGG
RNAcentral lists this ribosomal RNA (429 nucleotides) under Bacteroidota bacterium. Its description in RNAcentral is "Bacteroidetes bacterium partial 16S ribosomal RNA". It matches the Rfam family "Bacterial small subunit ribosomal RNA", at positions 355 to 776 of the family's 1533-position model. The record is from RNAcentral. Lineage: Bacteria; Pseudomonadati; Bacteroidota.